CCGCCCGGUCAGCAGCGGCGCAAUCGGCGGUGCCGGGUGUGAGCGCGGAGCCGGGCCUGGGCAGCGGUGGGGCCGUAGGACCUCGCGCUGCGUUCGCGGGCUCCGGGGCGGGGGCGGCGGCGACAAAGCCCCCUCCCCGGGGAGGCGGGGCCUGGGCGAGCUCCCCAGCCGGGGAGCCGCGGCGGCUGGGAAGGAUGCAUCAGAAGCUGCUGAAGAGCGCGCACUACAUCGAGCUGGGCAGCUAUCAGUACUGGCCAGUCCUGGUGCCCCGCGGCAUCCGCCUCUACACCUACGAACAGAUCCCCGUGUCCCUCAAGGACAACCCGUACAUCACCGACGGCUACCGGGCCUACCUGCCCUCCAGGCUGUGUAUCAAAAGUUUGUUUAUUUUAUCUAAUGAAACAGUAAACAUCUGGAGUCAUUUGCUGGGUUUCUUUCUCUUCUUUACACUGGGAAUAUAUGACAUGACAUCAGUGUUACCUUCGGCAAGUGCGUCCAGAGAAGAUUUUGUAAUUUGUUCUAUUUGUCUUUUCUGCUUCCAGGUCUGUAUGCUUUGCUCUGUGGGCUAUCAUCUUUUUUCCUGCCAUCGAUCAGAAAAAACCUGUCGAAGAUGGAUGGCACUAGAUUAUGCAGGAAUUUCUAUUGGAAUACUGGGCUGCUAUGUCUCCGGUGUAUUUUAUGCUUUUUAUUGUAAUAACUACUGGCGUCAAGUGUACUUGAUCACAGUGCUUGCCAUGAUCCUGGCCGUGUUCUUCGCACAGAUCCAUCCGAAUUACCUCACGCAGCAGUGGCAGAGGCUCCGUUCUGCCAUCUUCUGUUCUGUUUCGGGGUACGGGGUGAUCCCGACUCUUCACUGGGUUUGGCUCAAUGGAGGAAUCGGUGCUCCUAUUGUACAGGAUUUUGCACCCCGUGUAAUUGUGAUGUAUGUGAUUGCUCUUCUUGCUUUUCUGUUCUACGUUUCCAAAGUUCCCGAACGGUACUUUCCAGGACAACUAAACUACCUCGGAUCAAGCCACCAAAUAUGGCAUAUCCUUGCAGUGGUGAUGUUAUAUUGGUGGCAUCAGUCAACAGUGUAUGUCAUGCAGUACAGACAUAGCAAGCCUUGCCCUGACUAUGUUUCACAUUUGUGAAUUCAGCUUCAAAAUCGUAUUUUAGAAUCAGGAAUGAAGAACAGGGACUGUCACAUCUUAUGGCAUCCCACGUGGACAAAGUAACCGAUUUGAAGAUUGUGACUGACUGGCAUAAAGGUGUGCAGCUCCAUUUGGCAGGUACCUACCUGGAGAUAUCUUUGCCCUGCACUAAACCUCAAGGGGCAAAGUCUCACACUUCUGGACCCCUGCCAGUUGCUGAGCUGAGCAGGAGUUAAUGCCAAAAAUCCAUCAGAAGUAUCUACUGUUUAGAAGGAAAUGGAGCAGCACCAAAGGGGUCUAAUUCAACUGACUGGGACUGUUGGGACUGAUGUGAAGUGAUGCUUUGCACCACAAGUUCUGUAAAGGGCACGGCACCAAAAUCAUCCAUUUUCAAUGCAUCUGCACUAUGGAAUGAGCCGUGCAGGGAACUCGGUCGUGGCCGCCCAGGCAGGACGGGGUUGUGAUCAGCACGGAUGUCACUCAGGCCCUGAUGUGGAGGGUGCCACGGCAAGUCUGCAGGAUGGAAGGGCUUGGCACCAAAAGGGUCCAACAGACUCUCCUCAGGUUGCAGGCCGUUCCCUCUGUCUUUCCCGUCGGUCAGUGCAACGCUAAUGUUCUCCUUGGAGUCCGAGAUGGUUAGAAAUUCAUUGCUGCUUUGAGAGUCUCGGCGGCCCGCCUUCUUGUGCCUGCGAGCCCUCUCUGGAGUGCGGUAGGCAGGCUUCACAGUCUUCUUUGUGCUGGUGGGCGUGCCGUGAUGCCGCUUCCCAUUGCUUUUGGACAGAUCCUGCUUUGUGCGCCUUUGGCGAGAAGAGAGUUUCUGCAAGCUCCGCUGUUUGACUUUCUGCUGUUGACUCCCGGUUAUUUCCUCAAAGGGCACAAGCCCAAAAAGGUCCUCCUUGUUGUCACUUUUACUUGUUGAUGUGGUAAAGGGCUGAAAUGGAGUGGAGCCAAAUAUAUCUACACUUUUGGGGCAGCCAGGGAGGGCGUGUGCCUCAGGCCCCACUGCACGGCAGUCUUGUGCACUGACCUUCUUGCUGAAGGGUGCCUUUGUGAAUACAUCAAACUCCUCCUGCUCCAGACCCACAGUAGGACAGAGGGUCUGCUGACAGAAGUUCUUGUCGUUCUCUCCUUGGUGAGGCUGCUGAGGACGCACGGCGAAGAAGGGGACAGCGCCAAAUACGUCAAAUUCCUGGCUGGGAGCCUCCACUCCAACAUCAGAGGGUAAUCGGGUUGGGGUGAGGAGUGUGCUGGUGGGAUCUGCCACUGGUCCACUGCCAGAUCUGUCACUAUAGACAGGGCUCACGUCGCUGUACUUCACCUUGGCCUGCUCAUAAUCAGAAUCAGAGCUAUGUUUCUCUUCUUCCUCAUCUUCAGAAUCCAUGAGGAGAGGCCUGUGGCCCAGAUUCUCUGGUUCCGUAUCAUCGUCAUUAAAAUCUCCUUGCUCUCCCUGAAGCACUUCCUCAUCCUCUUGUUCCUCCUCCUCACUGCUCUUAGGAGAAGGAGGAUCGGAUUCAAAAUCACUUUCAGACUCUUCAUUCCGCUUUGGCACUGGAUCCCGUACCACUGAAUUCUCUGAGGUUUUCUUUCCAGUCCGGUGAUCUUUAGAUACUGGACUUGCUUUUCUAUUCUUGAUAGGGUUUGCAGAACUAUUUUCUUGAUUCGUGGAAGAAUGUUCAGUUUUCUUUUCAGGAGAACCUGCAGGUUCAAAGAAAAAAAUAUUAUAGCAUUCUAGUACAUUUUAAGAACCAUUUGCACUGAACAAUAUGCACUAACACGAGCCGUUACAAAUCCUUCAUACCAGUUCACUUAGAGAAAGAAAUAGCAUCAAUUAUUUGGUCAUUGGGCUUAGGGAAUGCACUUGUCCUCAACCAGAUCAUUAGGUCCUCUACUGCAGAGAGAUUUCCUGGUGUCUGUACCCUACAUACCGCCUACUCACACAGACCCUCCUUGCCAACCAAGUUUUAUUUAUAGGACCCAGAAUAGGACUCAGAAUAUAGAACACAGGCCAGUUUUCUUCACCUUCAAAAUAAGAUUAUUCAACUCAUUGCCUCUACUCAGAAUCCCACAUUUACGAAACCUUCUGCUUAUAUUUCAACUACAUUAUAAAAUUUUCCCAAAGAGAUCAGCAACCAUGAACAGCUUGUCUGCUCAGUUAUAUGUUCCACUGGAAUUUUUUAAAUUAGCAUUCUGGUUUCCUUAUAAACUAAUAUCUUAUGAGUUAGGUUAACAUGAGUGCAUCCCCACAAUCUGAUCAAAGCCAAGGACUGGGUACUGAAUUAAGUGACACUGUACCAAGGACAUCUGCCUUCUCAAGAUGACAUAUGUGCCUUUAACUACCAUAUCUUUACUACUAAACAUUACAUUAAAAGCAUGCUAUCUUUAAAAAGAAAACUACCAGUAUGUUCACUGCAUGAUGGGUAGUGAAACUGUAUCAAAUAAAUACAGUGCUUUACAAUUUCAAUGUAUGGUAUAUAAUAAAGACUGUAUUCGUUACAUGAAAAUAUACUGCUCUCCCAAUAGAGUAGUAUAUUUAAUAGAUUUUCCAGAUGGAGGGAUCAAUUUGAACUAAUGCAACCACAUAUCUAGUCAUCCCUUCCCUUCCUUUGACUAAGAUCAGAUAUUUUCAAAAUGAUUAGGGUUGGAAGUAUAGUCUGUAGUCAUGAAAACAUGGAUCAGCAUAUAAUGGAAGGACCACUACUCCAUUCUUACUAACAUGGUCCCUAUGGUUUAUGACACCUCUGAGUUCUGACCUUCUCUCUGAAAGUCAGCACCAGUGUCAUCCCACCUCUCUGACUACUCCUUCUGGGUCAUAUUUGUAGAGACUUCUCUUUCACUAACAUCUCCAUAUACAUGUAUGUUCCCAGGGUUCUGCCCUUGGUUUUUUCCCUCUGUGUGUCCUCCCAUGGUCUUAAAUACUUGUAUGUUAAUUGCUACACACAACCUAAUGACUGAAUCUCGAAUACUGACCAUGAAUACUUAGUCAUCUAAUACUUGGGAAUAUGUAUUGUACCAUUACUUCAAACUCAGUAAUUCAAAAGAGAUCAUCUUUCCUCUAAAAAUGUGCUCCUCACCAGUUCCAUCUAAAUUAACAAAUAAUACCUCUGUCAAACCAGUUCUGCAAACCAGCAGAAAUCUGGAAACCAUCUUCCUUCCUCACCAGUAUUUUUAAACUCUCUUGUAUCUGUUCCUUCCUCUUCCUCUGCCAGUUGUCGAUUUCAUUUCCUCCCAUUAUUGCCUGUCUAUCUCCAGUACAUGUCCAGCAAACCACUCCUCUACGGGGCCACCAGAACGACUUCUGAAACAUUAUGCGGCUACAGCUUAAAACCGUCCAGUAGCUCUUUAAAGUUCCAACCCUUAGCCCAGCACAGGGUGCCCUUCUCCAUCUGGAUUCUGUCCUACCAUGUCUUGAGCCUCAGACCCUGAUGUCACACAUGGGUAUGCUUCAUUAUCACCACACCCAGCCUGUCCCUACCCGAACUCAGUAAUUGAACAGAUUCAGAUUUU
This is an RNA transcript of Suricata suricatta (meerkat), 4634 nucleotides long. It is a transcript of the gene named progestin and adipoQ receptor family member 3, with no coding region annotated. NCBI's taxonomy places the organism in Eukaryota, Metazoa, Chordata, Mammalia, Carnivora, Herpestidae. The transcript has 8 exons. The record is from RefSeq and is a predicted model, not a curated record.